UUUUAUUCUCAGUUUAGAACCUGCUCUAAAAAAAUUAAGUGCAUAGACGACGACGUACUCCAAGUGGGAAAACGCACUUUUUAAAAAAAUGCACAUACUGAUUUUCAAAUUCUAUAACUAUUUCUCCAUAUAUGUUCAUUCCUUGACGCAUCAAUGCUUGUCCAUCGUCUAGGAUUAACAUGCAAAGAGUUUUGUAAUAUUUUACAUGAUGAUUCAAUAUGGAAAACUAGGAUCAGUCGUGUGUGGCCCAACUCACGGUUUCCAAUUUUACCUCCUGGUUAGCUUCAAUUACUACCAUCUUACUCGCACAGCCAAUCAGUACAUUCUACUAAUUGAAUUAAUUGAGCACAGUUUUAUGAAAAUGCAAACAAUUUCAAAUAUUUAUACACAGAAAAAAAAGGAUUUCUUGGCGCAAACGAAGAUUUAAUUAGCCGAAUGAUGAAUUUACACGUGAUACGAAAGACUUGACAUCUACUUAACUCAUUUUUAUAGGGAUCAAUUUCAUUAAAAUCAACGAUUGCUUCUUCCAAUUUAAAACAUUUUUUUUAUUUCUUACA
Molecule: long non-coding RNA, 557 nt
Organism: Microplitis mediator
Lineage: Eukaryota; Metazoa; Arthropoda; Insecta; Hymenoptera; Braconidae
Exons: 3
Source: RefSeq, a predicted model, not a curated record